UAGAAGACAAAAGAAUUUGUGCCAAAGAAAGAACAAUAAGGGAAAAACCUCAAUAAAAUGGAAAUAAGUACUUAUCUGAUAAAGAGUUAAAAGCAAUGGUCAUGUCUGAUGCUCAGUGAACUUGAGAGAACAAUGGAGGAACCAGUGAGAACAUCAACAAAGAGAAAAUAUUAAAAAGACACAAUCAGAGCAGACAUAUGCAAUAAAUGAAAUGGAAAAUACACAAGAGGGAGUCAGGAACAGAUCUGUGGGCCUUCAGUUCACUCGUGUAAAUGGACUGAGACUUCAAGCCGUAAAACAAACGACUGGGCAAUGAAUGAACUGGGAAACAAAGCAAUAAACCAAACGUAGUCUGGAUGGCUUCUGAGUGAAAAGCAGAUACAGUCUUGGAACAAGGAACAGUAUAAUGGCAGCAGCUAAUGGAAAAAAAAGAUGACGAGGUCAAGAAGAGCAAAGAGAAAUGGCUCAUGAAGUAUCUUUGGGAACAAGUCCAGAAGAAGCCUUGCAGUAGGAGAAAAUAUGUAUAGUGGCCAAAUAAAUCUCUAAAGGGAAAACGCA
Bos indicus x Bos taurus (hybrid cattle) is the source of this 558-nucleotide long non-coding RNA. Lineage: Eukaryota; Metazoa; Chordata; Mammalia; Artiodactyla; Bovidae. The record is from Ensembl.